Molecule: long non-coding RNA, 275 nt
Filed under: Brassica napus (rape)
Lineage: Eukaryota; Viridiplantae; Streptophyta; Magnoliopsida; Brassicales; Brassicaceae
Description: long non-coding RNA (BNAP_LNC025979)
Source: RNAcentral
GUUUGUAUUAUAAAGAUCCAAGUUUUCCUUGCCUGUUUCGCCAUUGUUUGCAGUGGAAGGUAUUACUUUUUCUUCAUGCCCGUAAGAUAAAACUCGAAGCGAAAACUUGUUAGUGGGUUAAUAAAAAAAUGGGUCAACUACAUUUAGCGUUCCUUAAUAUUCUAAUUAAUGAACCUUAAUUAAAAUGGCUAACCAACUACGUAAAGUGUUAGGUGUUUUUAGGGGUGGACACUUUACCCGAUAUCCGAAGUGCACCCAAACCCGAUCCGAAAAAC